GCUCCUAUCUGGUGGCAAGCAUUCUGUUCAAGGGUCGUGUUAUGGUUGUUGGCAAAGUGGGUUUUUCUGAGUGAGGUUCACCUGUUGCACACCAGCUGUGCUGAUCCCUGCAAUUUCCCCAAACACAGGAAACUUAACUGCAUACUUUGUGGUAAUGGGGGAACGUGUUCAGACUUUGCCCUGG
Molecule: small nuclear RNA, 184 nt
Organism: Chelydra serpentina (North American snapping turtle)
Lineage: Eukaryota; Metazoa; Chordata; Testudines; Chelydridae
Gene: U1
Rfam family: U1 spliceosomal RNA
About the family: U1 is a small nuclear RNA (snRNA) component of the spliceosome (involved in pre-mRNA splicing). Its 5' end forms complementary base pairs with the 5' splice junction, thus defining the 5' donor site of an intron.
Source: Ensembl